This is a small nucleolar RNA of Mastomys coucha (southern multimammate mouse), 127 nucleotides long. RefSeq annotates it as small nucleolar RNA SNORA17. The record is from RefSeq and is a predicted model, not a curated record. The transcript has a single exon. Lineage: Eukaryota; Metazoa; Chordata; Mammalia; Rodentia; Muridae.
UCUGUCUCAACCCUGGCAGGGGUGGCUGCUGUGUCCCAUGUGCAUCAGUAGGUGGCAGAGAGGAGAGGCUAUGGUUAUGUUCAGUGUUCUGCCCUGUGAACAUCUGAAUGAUGAGCACCCUAACAUU